RNAcentral lists this long non-coding RNA (1751 nucleotides) under Octopus vulgaris (common octopus). The record is from RNAcentral. Lineage: Eukaryota; Metazoa; Mollusca; Cephalopoda; Octopoda; Octopodidae.
AUGUAUAUGUACAUACACAUUUUGUUUGUAUGUAUGUAUGUAUAUAUAUAUAUAUAUACACCUGUGUGUAUAUAUGACAUGUAACUAUAAUCUCACCGCUAUACGCAAGCAGAAGAAAAGUCCUCUUUCCUUCUGUAGGAUGGCUUCUUUCCUGCUUCAAGAGCCACACAUUGGUGAGCAGAAAUAUGUGUUCUCGCAUCCUUCGCACACUAACCCUACCGAAGCAUCAAGAACGAGGAAGCUGGCGGGAGAGAGGGCUGCUUCUCCAGAUAUUCGGAGAUGGAAUCCAUGUUAAUAUGAAGGCGACUUUUAUCAGACUUAUGAUGGCACUGUCAGAGAAUCUCUUGAACAUCUUUUCAAACAUAGAUUCAACAGUGUUGUCGGUUCCAUAACAGCACCCUGGUGAAUGCUGCCAUCGGUGGCUACUAAUUGACUUUCACUCUAAAUUCUUCGUAGAAAUUUCCUUUAUCUAUAUAUCAUAUGAAUUGUGAUUACAACACAAUAAAUCAAACGAUUACAUACAUAUCUAACCUAUGUGGUUUGAUACAUACUAGUAUAGUAACAAAGAAGAUCAUAACUAUAUCACAUGAACAUGAUUAUCUAAAUACGUAGAUAAUUAAGCACACAUAUAAUUUAAAAUAGAAAAUCAAACAUACACACAAACACAGAUACAGCACCCACAAGAACAUAACACUCACAUAGACACAAAUAUUUAGUCCUUUAAUUUUUUAGCAUAAGUAACACUUUGCCUGUAAUCGUCAGUUUUUUUUCGUUUUUUUUUUUACUUGCAGUGAUUUGGUGGAAGAAAAUAAUAAAAAAAAAAAUCUUAAAAUUAUAAGAGAAACUCAGCAACUAAACAUGACAAGCAAUAAUUCUGUAGCAAUCUUUAGAUAUUUCAUUCGUCACCCCGUCCCUUCCUUGUUAUGUUCACAUUGCCACCACUUCAAAGAACGCCUAAUUAUUGAAACACUUUGAAGCAACCAUCGUUAAUUUUGUCAUCGAUAUCUUGUCUUGUUUCUUUCACAUUCUGCUUUUCUUUCCUUUACAUCAGUACCAUUGAUUUUCUUUUCUUCUUUCUUUUUGUUUAUUUCCUUUCACGUUGUCUAUAUAUAUGCUUGAGCAACACAAUGUAGGAAUUGCAAACACACAAUUGUCAGAACCAAAACGUCACAUAAUCUAUUUACUUCCGUACGUCCAUUUCACUACAUUUAUGAAACAUAUAUAUAUAUAUAUAUAUAUAUAUAUAUAUAUAUAUAUAUAGCAUUGAUACUUAUAUGCGUAACAGUAUGUGCAUCAACAGUUACAGUUUUUCAAAUAUACACACACAGUCAGAUAUGUACAUACGUAUAUACAUUUGCAAGCAUAUGUAUACGUCCAUAUAUUAUAUAUACGCUAUAUAUGCAUGCUCUAUAUGCAUACAUUAAAUAUAUAUAUAAACAAAUAUAUUUUAUACACACACGCACAUACAUUACAUAACAUAUAUAUAUAUAUAUAUAUAUAUAUAUAUAUAUAUGCAUACACACACACAUAGAAAUGUACAUACAUAUACACAUGCCAAAACAGGAAGUUAGACUAUGAUAUUUGUAUAAUGUUUUUCCUUUUAAUGUUUUCAUUAACAAAUUUGUUCCCCGCCAUUUUGACUAUUAUUUGCAAAUACAAUAUUUUUUAAAUGGUGGCAGUGUACUUGUUCAUUGUUUCCAAUUAAAUAAAUUUAGUUUCUCUUUUUUCCUUAAUCAAUAUGUACAAUUUAU